CCCGGACCAAAAUUUCGGGGUACAGUGACAUCCCAGAGUAACUUUCUGUGAGAGGUUAGACUCUGGUUAGAAUAUGUUAGCUCAAAACAAAGAAAAGAAAACGCGUGUAGUUUCUGUGUCUCUUGAUCUUGCAUCUCAGCGCAUCUGAAUCUGCAGAAUCUCAAUGGAUCGCAAUGGAUCAUUGGUAAAUAAAGCCGGCAUUGGAUGGAGACAGUAUCUUGUCGUGAAGCGAAAGAUCGAAGGACCGAGGCCCGAGAAAAUUUCAUUUCGGUAA
Long non-coding RNA from Armigeres subalbatus, 274 nucleotides. RefSeq lists it as uncharacterized. The transcript has 3 exons. The record is from RefSeq and is a predicted model, not a curated record. NCBI's taxonomy places the organism in Eukaryota, Metazoa, Arthropoda, Insecta, Diptera, Culicidae.